Molecule: ribosomal RNA, 429 nt
Filed under: Gemmatimonadota bacterium
Lineage: Bacteria; Pseudomonadati; Gemmatimonadota
Description: Gemmatimonadetes bacterium partial 16S ribosomal RNA
Rfam family: Bacterial small subunit ribosomal RNA
Source: RNAcentral
UAGGGAAUCUUCGGCAAUGGACGAAAGUCUGACCGAGCAACGCCGCGUGAGUGAAGAAGGUUUUCGGAUCGUAAAACUCUGUUGUUAGAGAAGAACAAGGACGUUAGUAACUGAACGUCCCCUGACGGUAUCUAACCAGAAAGCCACGGCUAACUACGUGCCAGCAGCCGCGGUAAUACGUAGGUGGCAAGCGUUGUCCGGAUUUAUUGGUCGUAAACCGAGCGCAGGCGGUUUCUUAAGUCUGAUGUGAAAGCCCCCGGCUCAACCGGGGAGGGUCAUUGGAAACUGGGAGACUUGAGUGCAGAAGAGGAGGGUGGAAUUCCAUGUGUAGCGGUGAAAUGCGUAGAUAUAUGGAGGAACACCAGUGGCGAAGGCGGCUCUCUGGUCUGUAACUGACGCUGAGGCUCGAAAGCGUGGGGAGCAAACAGG